GGCGGCGUGCUUAACACAUGCAAGUCGAGCGGAAAGGCCCUUCGGGGUACUCGAGCGGCGAACGGGUGAGUAACACGUGAGUAACCUGCCCUAGGCUUUGGGAUAACCCUCGGAAACGGGGGCUAAUACCGGAUAUUCAUGCUGGACGGCAUCGUUUGGUGUGGAAAGUUUUUCGGCCUGGGAUGGGCUCGCGGCCUAUCAGCUUGUUGGUGGGGUGAUGGCCUACCAAGGCGACGACGGGUAGCCGGCCUGAGAGGGCGACCGGCCACACUGGGACUGAGACACGGCCCAGACUCCUACGGGAGGCAGCAGUGGGGAAUAUUGCACAAUGGGCGGAAGCCUGAUGCAGCGACGCCGCGUGAGGGAUGAAGGCCUUCGGGUUGUAAACCUCUUUCGACAGGGACGAAGCGCGAGUGACGGUACCUGGAGAAGAAGCGCCGGCCAACUACGUGCCAGCAGCCGCGGUAAGACGUAGGGCGCGAGCGUUGUCCGGAUUUAUUGGGCGUAAAGAGCUCGUAGGCGGCUUGUUGCGUCAGCUGUGAAAACCCGCAGCUCAACUGUGGGCUUGCAGCUGAUACGGGCAGGCUUGAGUUCGGUAGGGGAGACUGGAAUUCCUGGUGUAGCGGUGAAAUGCGCAGAUAUCAGGAGGAACACCGGUGGCGAAGGCGGGUCUCUGGGCCGAUACUGACGCUGAGGAGCGAAAGCGUGGGGAGCGAACAGGAUUAGAUACCCUGGUAGUCCACGCUGUAAACGUUGGGCGCUAGGUGUGGGGGGCCUCUCCGGUUCUCUGUGCCGCAGCUAACGCAUUAAGCGCCCCGCCUGGGGAGUACGGCCGC
RNAcentral lists this ribosomal RNA (836 nucleotides) under Dactylosporangium sp. IM-7210. RNAcentral describes it as "bacterial SSU rRNA". It matches the Rfam family "Bacterial small subunit ribosomal RNA", at positions 38 to 889 of the family's 1533-position model. The record is from RNAcentral. Lineage: Bacteria; Bacillati; Actinomycetota; Actinomycetes; Micromonosporales; Micromonosporaceae.